This 484-nucleotide ribosomal RNA is filed under the name uncultured bacterium. RNAcentral's name for it is "partial 16S ribosomal RNA". It matches the Rfam family "Bacterial small subunit ribosomal RNA", at positions 28 to 507 of the family's 1533-position model. The record is from RNAcentral.
AUUGAACGCUGGCGGCAUGCUUUACACAUGCAAGUCGAACGGCAGCGCGGGCUUCGGCCUGGCGGCGAGUGGCGAACGGGUGAGUAAUGCAUCGGAACGUGCCCAGUAGUGGGGGAUAGCCCGGCGAAAGCCGGAUUAAUACCGCAUACGACCUGAGGGUGAAAGCGGGGGACCGAAAGGCCUCGCGCUAUUGGAGCGGCCGAUGUCGGAUUAGCUAGUUGGUGGGGUAAAGGCUUACCAAGGCGACGAUCCGUAGGUGGUCUGAGAGGACGACCAGCCACACGGGGACUGAGACACGGCCCAGACUCCUACGGGAGGCAGCAGUGGGGAAUUUUGGACAAUGGGGGCAACCCUGAUCCAGCCAUGCCGCGUGCGGGAAGAAGGCCUUCGGGUUGUAAACCGCUUUUGUUCGGGAAGAAAUCCUCUGGGCUAAUACCCCGGGGGGAUGACGGUACCGGAAGAAUAAGCACCGGCUAACUACGUG